GACGAACGCUGGCGGCGUGCUUAACACAUGCAAGUCGAGCGGUAAGGCCCUUUCGGGGGUACGACGAGCGGCGAACGGGUGAGUAACACGUGGGUGACCUGCCCUCAGCUCUGGGAUAAGCCUGGGAAACCGGGUCUAAUACUGGAUAUGACUCCAUGACGCAUGUUGUGGGGUGGAAAGCCUUGUGCGGCUGAGGAUGGGCCCGCGGCCUAUCAGCUUGUUGGUGGGGUGAGGCCUACCAAGGCGACGACGGGUAGCUGGUCUGAGAGGACGGCCAGCCACACUGGAACUGAGACACGGUCCAGACUCCUACGGGAGGCAGCAGUGGGGAAGUAUUGCGCAAUGGGCGAAAGCCUGACGCAGCGACGCCGCGU
This 374-nucleotide ribosomal RNA is filed under the name uncultured bacterium. Its description in RNAcentral is "bacterial SSU rRNA". It matches the Rfam family "Bacterial small subunit ribosomal RNA", at positions 28 to 402 of the family's 1533-position model. The record is from RNAcentral.